CAGGCCUAACACAUGCAAGUCGAACGGGGCUCUUUGGAUCGAGACUUCGGUCAAGUGAAUUUGAGCUUAGUGGCGGACGGGUGAGUAACGCGUGAGCAACCUGCCUUUCAGAGGGGGACAACAGUUGGAAACGACUGCUAAUACCGCAUAAUGUGUUUUGGGGGCAUCCCCGNNACACCAAAGAUUUAUCGCUGAAAGAUGGGCUCGCGUCUGAUUAGCUAGUUGGUGGGGUAACGGCCUACC
This 243-nucleotide ribosomal RNA is filed under the name uncultured bacterium. RNAcentral describes it as "partial 16S ribosomal RNA". It matches the Rfam family "Bacterial small subunit ribosomal RNA", at positions 43 to 269 of the family's 1533-position model. The record is from RNAcentral.